GCACCUUGUAGCAGGCGGCUCAAGGCUAAUGCUGGAGGAAGAGGGUGGAGGGAAGGAGCCAGGCAGCCAAGUUUCAGUGUGACCUCAGAAAGUGUGAACAGGGAUAGAGACUGCAACUCCACAGUGCCCCACCACUUCUGGGAACUGCAGCUUCUAGGAUGGACACAGGGAUCGAACUCAGGUCCUUGUGCUUGCACAGCAGGCGGCGAAACCACUGAGCUAAAUCCCCAGCCCUUAUUAUUUUAAAAUAUCAUACUCUUCCAAAAUAACUUUCCUGCCAGGGCUGCCCCCAAUGCCAAAAGGAGCCUUCUGGGCCACCUUACCGCCACCCCCAGCAAUGAAGAGGUGAGCCAAGAGAGCACCAGAAGCACACACCCGUGGGUGUCUCCCCGCACCGCAUUGAAAUGAGAAGACACAUAAGUCUCAAAACCAGACUUCCAGAUCACCUAAAGCAACCCCAAAGGGAAAUGAGAUGGAACAAUCUGAUACUCAACCUCCUGGACUCCCUGAACUGGCAACAGAAGAGGAUCUCGAAAAAAUGAAAUCAGAAAUAAUUUGUCAAUAGAUUGUGCCCAUAGUGCAAGACAUGAUCAAUAAAUCUGUAGAGGAAACAGAUAAAAAAAUAGAGGAGCUGAGGAACAUGAUGGAAUACCAACAUAGGAAACAAAUGGAAUCCAUAAAACAGAUGCAAACACAUUUCCAGGACAUUAAAAACUCCACAGCAAUUACACAAGAGAAAGAAAGAAAAGGACUAAAGAUAGGAAAAGAAGAAGUCAAACUGUCAUUAUUGCAGAUGACAUGAUGCUCUACAUAGAAGACCCCAAGAACUCCACCAAAAUUCUUCUAGACUUAAUAACCAAAUUCAGUAGAGUAGCUGGAUACAAGGUCAACACAAAAAUCAAUAUCUUUCCUCUACAUGAACAACAGACUCAGUGAGAGAGAAAUAGGGCAAAUAAUUCCUUUCACAACAGCUUCCAAAAAACUGAAAUACCUAGGAAUCAGUCUAACAAAAGAAAUCAAAGACCUCUUCUCUGAAAACUAUAGCACUCUGAAAAGAGAGGUUGAUGAUGAUAUCAGAAAAUGG
RNAcentral lists this long non-coding RNA (1084 nucleotides) under Heterocephalus glaber (naked mole-rat). RNAcentral's name for it is "lncRNA (ENSHGLG00100034815.1)". The record is from RNAcentral. Lineage: Eukaryota; Metazoa; Chordata; Mammalia; Rodentia; Bathyergidae.